Carassius auratus (goldfish) is the source of this 488-nucleotide long non-coding RNA. RefSeq lists it as uncharacterized. The transcript has 3 exons. NCBI's taxonomy places the organism in Eukaryota, Metazoa, Chordata, Actinopteri, Cypriniformes, Cyprinidae. The record is from RefSeq and is a predicted model, not a curated record.
UUCAAGUCUAAAGAAGAGGUGGUUGUGUUGCGUCGAGGGAAGAUUACAUAUCAAGAUCUUCCUGUGCGUGGGUUUGCAUUAAGAUGAUGACAUUUUAGGGAACUCUUUACUGUAGCUGUCAAAGUGGUAUCAUCCCAAGUCAAGAAAUCCACCAGUGAAGAAUUGCAGAUGUGGGGUGUAGGACAAGUGGAUCACUCAGACUAAACGGACAUGAAGGAAAUAAACGUCAGGCGGUCUGUCAUCUGCAGGUUGAAACACACUGAAGAUCAUUGUUUGAGGUCAUCCGUGAUUCUUGUCUGUGUCCCAUCUGCUCAGCAUACUCCUUGUGUCUUGUUCCUGUUUGGUUGUUGUGGAUAUACCAUCAGCUCACGGAUCCUUCAUCAUCACCCAACUGCGCACUCAAUCACCUUCUCACCAGUCGGUGCUGCCAUCGAGGUCCCUGCGUCACCCACCACCAACCCAACCUGACCUUACGUCUCAAAUAAAGA